This 366-nucleotide RNase P RNA is filed under the name Clostridiales bacterium. RNAcentral describes it as "RNase P RNA component class A". It matches the Rfam family "Bacterial RNase P class A". Rfam says of the family: Ribonuclease P (RNase P) is a ubiquitous endoribonuclease, found in archaea, bacteria and eukarya as well as chloroplasts and mitochondria. Its best characterised activity is the generation of mature 5'-ends of tRNAs by cleaving the 5'-leader elements of precursor-tRNAs. Cellular RNase Ps are ribonucleoproteins. Lineage: Bacteria; Bacillati; Bacillota; Clostridia; Eubacteriales. The record is from RNAcentral.
UGAGUAGCACGAAUGGUCGCAUCUUUUUAAGAUGAGGAAAGUCCGGGCUUCGUAGGACAGAGUGCCGGAUAACGUCCGGUGGAGGUGACUCCCAGGCUAGUGCAACAGAAAUUAUACCGCUAUAAGUUCAUACUUAUAGUAAGGGUGGAAAGGUGGUUUAAGAGACCACCGCCUAUUUGGUAACAAAUAGGGCAAAUGUAAACCCCACUCGAAGCAAGACCGAACAUAAUGCAAUACGGUUGUCCGCCGUGCAUUAGGGUGGGUCGCGUAGCAUCAGCGUAAGCGGGUGCUUGAGCCAUAUGGCAACAUAUGGUCUAGAUAGAUGACCAUUCACGACAGAACCCGGCUUACAGUGCUACUCCAUUU